This 677-nucleotide ribosomal RNA is filed under the name uncultured Actinomycetes bacterium. Its description in RNAcentral is "bacterial SSU rRNA". It matches the Rfam family "Bacterial small subunit ribosomal RNA", at positions 95 to 787 of the family's 1533-position model. Lineage: Bacteria; Bacillati; Actinomycetota; Actinomycetes. The record is from RNAcentral.
GCGGCGAACGGGUGAGGAACACGUGAGGAAUCUGCCUUCAACACUGGGAUAACUCCGGGAAACCGGGGCUAAUACCGGAUACGAGACCUGCAGGCAUCUGCGGGUCUGGAAAGUUUUUCGGUUGAAGAUGACCUCGCGGCCUAUCAGCUUGUUGGUGAGGUAAUGGCUCACCAAGGCGACGACGGGUAGCCGGCCUGAGAGGGCGACCGGCCACACUGGGACUGAGACACGGCCCAGACUCCUACGGGAGGCAGCAGUGGGGAAUAUUGGGCAAUGGAGGAAACUCUGACCCAGCGACGCCGCGUGCGGGAUGAAGGCCUUCGGGUUGUAAACCGCUUUCAGCAAGGAAGAAGCGAAAGUGACGGUACUUGCAGAAGAAGCACCGGCUAACUAUGUGCCAGCAGCCGCGGUAAUACAUAGGGUGCAAGCGUUGUCCGGAAUUAUUGGGCGUAAAGAGCUCGUAGGUGGUUCGUCACGUCGGAUGUGAAAAUCUGGGGCUUAACCCCAGACCUGCAUUCGAUACGGGCGAGCUAGAGUGUGGUAGGGGAGACUGGAAUUCCUGGUGUAGCGGUGGAAUGCGCAGAUAUCAGGAGGAACACCAAUGGCGAAGGCAGGUCUCUGGGCCAUUACUGACACUGAGGAGCGAAAGCGUGGGGAGCGAACAGGAUUAGAUACCC